GCGAGUGGCGAACGGGUGAGUAAUAUAUCGGAACGUACCCUGGAGUGGGGGAUAACGUAGCGAAAGUUACGCUAAUACCGCAUACGAUCUAAGGAGGAAAGUGGGGGACCUUCGGGCCUUACGCUGAUGGAGCGGCUGAUGUCGGAUUAGCUAGUUGGUAGGGUAAAGGCCUACCAAGGCGACGAUCCGUAGCUGGUCUGAGAGGACGACCAGCCACACUGGAACUGAGACACGGUCCAGACUCC
RNAcentral lists this ribosomal RNA (245 nucleotides) under uncultured bacterium. RNAcentral's name for it is "partial 16S ribosomal RNA". It matches the Rfam family "Bacterial small subunit ribosomal RNA", at positions 91 to 339 of the family's 1533-position model. The record is from RNAcentral.